Molecule: ribosomal RNA, 514 nt
Filed under: fungal sp.
Lineage: Eukaryota; Fungi
Description: eukaryotic LSU rRNA
Rfam family: 5.8S ribosomal RNA (bases 138-290)
Source: RNAcentral
ACAUACGCAUCACAAUAAGCCGAGGUAGUUUCCGAGCGCCUCACGUGCAUCAUUCGCCGGGGAAACCGGCGAGGAAGCCCUCAUCAAACAUUUUUUUGCAUCUCGCAUUACCUGGCCGGAUAAAAAACAAUCGUAACAACUUUCAACAAUGGAUCUCUUGGCUCUGGCAUCGAUGAAGACGCAGCGAAAUGCGAUAAGUAGUGUGAAUUGCAGAAUUCAGUGAAUCAUCGAAUCUUUGAACGCACAUUGCGCCCCUUGGUAUUCCAUGGGGCAUGCCUGUUCGAGCGUCAUCUACACCCUCAAGCUCUGCUUGGUGUUGGGCGUCUGUCCCGCCUCUGCGCGCGGACUCGCCCCAAAGGCAUUGGCAGCGGUCCACGGCCCCUCUCGCGCAGCACAUUGCGCUUCUCGAGGCGGCCCGACCCGCAUCCACGAAGCCCACAUUACCGUCUUUGACCUCGGAUCAGGUAGGGAUACCCGCUGAACUUAAGCAUAUCAUAGCCCGGAGGAAAUUCCC